This 233-nucleotide ribosomal RNA is filed under the name uncultured bacterium. RNAcentral describes it as "partial 16S ribosomal RNA". It matches the Rfam family "Bacterial small subunit ribosomal RNA", at positions 15 to 226 of the family's 1533-position model. The record is from RNAcentral.
GAUCCUGGCUCAGGAUGAACGCUGGCGGCGUGCUUAACACAUGCAAGUCGAACGAAGCACUUUAUUUGAUUUCCUUCGGGACUGAUUAUUUUGUUGACUGAGUGGCGGACGGGUGGAGUAACGCGUGGGUAACCUGCCUUGUACAGUGGGAUAACAGUUGGAAACGGCUGCUAAUACCGCAUAAGCGCACAGCAUCGCAUGAUGCAGUGUGAAAAACUCCGGUGGUAUAAGAU